CCGGAAGUCUCGGCUUAUUUAGCGUGAUAUCUCGGACGUCCACGAGGUCUAGUGGCCGGGGAAACACUGAACGUGGGGAUCUGCCCAAUGAUACGGAAUACCUCCGGGGAACUGGAAUUAAUACCGGAUGUGCCCGCAAGGGGAAAGAUUUAUCUCCUUUGGAUGAGCCCACGUCUGAUUAGCUGUUUGGUGGGGUAAAGGCCCACCAAGGCGACGAUCCGUAGCUGGUCUAACAGGAUGAUCACCCACACUGGGACUGAGACACUGCCCAGACUCCUAGGGGAGGCAAUACUGGGGAAUAUUGUACAAUGGGCGCCAGCGUGAUCCAUCCAUGCCGCGUGAGUGAUGAAAGGCUUAGGGUUGUAAAGCUCUUUCACCGACUAAGAUAAUGAAACUUCUUUCAGAAGGAGCCACGGCUAACUUCCUGCCACCAGCCACGAUAGUACGAAGGGGGCUAUCCUUGUUCCCAAUCACUGACCGUAGAGCGCACCUAUGUCGAUUGUUACUUCGCGGGUGAAAGCCUGGAGCUCAACUCCACGACUGCCCUUGAUACUGACAAUCUCUCUUCCGGAAUACGUAAGUGGCACUGCGAGUGUAGAGGUGAAAUUCAUACAUAUUCUCUUGAGCACCCGUGGGGAAAGGCCGCAUAUUGGGGGGGGGAAUCACUCUUAAAUGCGAAAGUCUCGGGAGCAAACAAAGAUUACAGACCCUGAUAGUCCACGCCCGUAACACAAGAGAAAUCUACCCGGUGGUGCACCCCUGCUCAUCGCUGGCGGCUACGUAACGCGGUUAUCCCUCUUCGCCCAGACAUGUCGCUCUCACGACUUAAAAUCACAACCGAUAUGUAGGGGAGGGCCCGCUAAGCUGGUAGAGCAUCGUGAUUUUAUUUUCUAAGCAACGCCACGAUCCUUAUCAGUUCUUUUCCAUCUUCUCGAGAUUGGACCACCAUACUGGCACUCUUAUUUCGUCAGCGAGAACCACUAGAGUUAUUGUCUGCUCUCUAGCUCGCUCGUGAGGUUUUGGGUAGUUCUCCCAACAAUGCGAGAGCCAUGCUCGUUUAUGCCAUUCAUCAAUUAGUAGCCUUACCGUGGACUGACUGUGCCUCUAGUCUUAUGAAAACGUUGAAGACAUGCGAGUCCUAUGGCCCUUACGAUGAGUAAGCAUUACUCAAGUGUACUUGGAGACACGU
This 1189-nucleotide ribosomal RNA is filed under the name Rhizobium sp. Rz9(2010). RNAcentral's name for it is "bacterial SSU rRNA". The stretch from base 1 to 750 matches the Rfam family "Bacterial small subunit ribosomal RNA", at positions 51 to 873 of the family's 1533-position model. Lineage: Bacteria; Pseudomonadati; Pseudomonadota; Alphaproteobacteria; Hyphomicrobiales; Rhizobiaceae. The record is from RNAcentral.